UGGGGGAUAUUGCACAAUGGAGGAAACUCUGAUGCAGCGAUGCCGCGUGAGGGAAGAAGGUUUUCGGAUUGUAAACCUCUGUGGAGCGGGACGAUAAUGACGGUACCGCUCAAGGAAGCCACGGCUAACUACGUGCCAGCAGCCGCGGUAAUACGUAGGUGGCGAGCGUUGUCCGGAAUUACUGGGUGUAAAGGGAGUGUAGGCGGGAAUGCAAGUCAGAAGUGAAAACUAUGGGCUUAACCCAUAGCCUGCUUUUGAAACUGUAUUUCUUGAGUGAAGCAGAGGCAAGCGGAAUUCCUAGUGUAGCGGUGAAAUGCGUAGAUAUUAGGAGGAACACCAGUGGCGAAGGCGGCUUGCUGGGCUUUUACUGACGCUGAGGCUCGAAAGCGUGGGGAGCAAACAGGA
Molecule: ribosomal RNA, 405 nt
Filed under: uncultured bacterium
Lineage: Bacteria
Description: bacterial SSU rRNA
Rfam family: Bacterial small subunit ribosomal RNA
Source: RNAcentral